GAGGAGAUCCUGUCGACGUGCUCGUCUCUGCCUCGGCGUAUCUGCGCGGGCCACCGAGAGGUUCUUCCUUUGUGGCCGUCGCGCACACUUCGCCGUGCUCUUGCGGCAGCGCUGAAUGCUUCGCUUUUUUUCUGCAGUUGAUGGUGUCGCAGCCGGUAAGCGUGAUACUCGCCCACACCCGUAUAUAUACGCCAAUGGACGGCAACAUCAUCCGCCCCGUUUGCGACGAAGACUCCGUCACGGAUGCCAUGCUGGAGGAGUUCCUGCGGCCACCGUCAUCGUUCGCCUUGACAGACACCGCGGGCGAUAUGCUGACUGCCUCUACCCUUGGCAGCGCGGCGCGGGGACCGGCUCCCUGCACCCCUGCAGCGGCCUGCACGUCCGCGUUGGGGGCUGGCUCCUCGUCAACCUUCAAAAGCUCGCACGAUAGCGAGGUUAACCAAAUCGGCGUGGGGGCCUUCGAGGGAAGUGUUGUGCACUGUGCAAGUCAUCUCGUCGGCGCCAGCCCUGCACUGCCUGCGGAACUGUCGCACUCGGAUAUCACGAGCGACGACAGCGGCGACUUUGCCUUUCUCACGAGCAAUGUGCGCGAUGCCGACGUGUACGACCUCAUUCGUCACUACAUGUUGUAUUGCAAGCAGCAGGAGAAGGAGCUGGAGGAUCUGGAGGCGGAAUGCGCACGGCUGGAGGCGGAGCAACAGCACCUCUACGGCGCCGCUAUUGCGGCUGACAUGACUCGAAAAUCUUUGCACAUGUCGGCUGCCAACUCUCUGUCUCCGCCGAAUUCGAACGAAAUUGCGGCAACAGGAGCCGGCGGCGUCUCCUCGUCAGCCGCUGUCGACGAGUUCGGCGAGGCUCACAUCGACCCGCUGAAGUCGUGCCCUUACUUGGAUCCACACGACGCCGCUCACAACCCGCAGCCGUAUCGCUACGGACAGCCCGCCAUCAAUGGCUUCUACACCCCGGCUUUCAAGAAUGGCAUUCUCUACCGCUGCGUUGCGGCCGAGGGGUCGUGGAUAUUCUACAACGACUCGGAGCAGUACGCGAUGCACAUAAAAUAUAUCUUCGGCGCCUCAUCCGUCAUUACGGCCGGCCCGCACGCCUCUGUGAACCAGCGGGUGUCCGGCGAGUAUGAGGUGCAAGUGACAGUCUGGCCACAGGAGACGGAGGUGCUGCUUGUAGGUCAAGUAAACGGCUUCAAGAAUCUCUCUUCCGCCGUGCCGGUGAAUUCCAGCUAUACGAAUCCACACGCCAGUGCCUCAACCGCAUCUGCGCGCGCUCUGCUGAAUCGCUUCGCCCACCAGUCGGGAAAGCCGAAUAUCUCGCUGCUCUCCACGGAGGACGUGCUGGAGUGUUGUGCGGGCCAAGGCAGCGAGUUGGCUGCCGCUGUCGGGUCUUUGAAUGGGCAACAUUUUGUCGACCCCGACUUUCCGCCCUGUGGCACAUCGCUUUACCGCAAAGGUGUCGAUGACGUCUUCCUCUGGGAUAUGUCCUGGCGGCGCCCCUGCGAGUACCUGCCCGCCUCACAGCGCUCGGAAGCGUGCCUCUUCGCUCGCUCGGUGCUUCCGACAGACCCGUGUGCGGGGGAAGGCGGUGCGGUGUACCUGUGCAGUGCCGCCUGCUGUCUCGCUGAGCACCCCACGCAGGUCGCUCGAAUUUUUCGGCACCCCGUCUCUGCGGAUGCCGGCAUCUGCGAGCGCGCUGUCGGGGCAUACCGCGUCGCACUGAGCCACGGCGGCUGGUGGACGCCCACCGUCGUCGAUAGUUACUUGCCAGCCUCGCUCAAGGGCCCGAACCUGGGCCGCUGCUCUCACGACUUGCGCAAGCUCUGGUAUCCGCUGCUCGAAAAGGCGUACGCGAAGCUGCACGGUUCCUACGCUGCCAUCCAAUGCGGUAGCGCGCUCGAGGCGCUGCAGGAUCUCACCGGAUUUCCGACGUUUCACUUCUAUGAUGAGUGGGCGGAGGCGGUGCGGAGCAGUGCCGGCGCGCGCGCGAGCGAACGCACCUCCUACAGCCCACUGUCCGAGCACCUGUUCACCUCUCUGGAGGAGAAGGUGCAUCAACGCGGCUAUCUCGUGUUCCUGAGCCUGCCGGACGACGGGCCGGCCGAGGCCCAGGCAGCGCAAAUUGGCAUGAUGUUCGGCAUGUCGUACGCGGUUCUGCGGCUCGUUCGGCACGGCAGUUUUCGGCUUCUUCAAAUUCGGUGCCCCACCUUGAAGCUCUGUAGCAGCCGGCUGUGGUGUGCUGGGAGCGCACGGUGGCAGCAGGAGCCGCAGCUAGCCCGCUUGUGCGGGAUGGAUAGUGAUGGCGGGCCGGAGCUCGCGAGUUUGUGGUUGGACUGGUCUGAGGCUCUAGCUAUGUUUGAGGGGGGCGGUGUGUGCUGUAGUCGUUGGGACUGGGCACAUGACUGCCGCGUGCGAGGUUUCUUCAAAGACGGGAUACCCUCUUUCGUCUUGGAGGUGAGCGUCGACACCUCUGCAGAGAGCGCAGGUCCCGUGGAAGCGUACUGCAUCUUGUCCCAGGAGGACGAUCGCGGUAUGUCUCCAGAUCACCCGAACCGAGCGCUGCGCCCACUGAUGCUCUCUGUCAGCAGCCGUUGCGGCGACGAUGAGGCGGGCGAGGGUGUCGGCGGGGAGUCCUCGGCUGAUCAGCGCAUUCGGCAUGUGUGCUCCACGGACCCAGACACCCCCACAGAGCACCUGAACUACGUCUUAGCCCGCGAUACGGCGCUCCGUGUCACCUUGCAGCCCUCGGAGCACCCGUACUACGUCAUCCCCCGCUCACGGGGGGAUAUGCGCAACAAGCUCUUCACACUGGGCUUUGUCUCCUCCACAGCGCCGACAAAAACGGGAAAGCUGCGGAUGCGGGCGGUGCAGCUCCCGUCUAACUCUGCGGUGUUUCACAACCGACGCAGCUUCUCGACUCGGCAACUCGAGAGCGUGGCGGCGGUGUCGUUUCAGAUUCGCGGGCCGGACGGGGUUGCACGCGUAGGGUGCGGCAGCAGCAUUGGCUGAGGCGCUAGAGGUGCAGAGGUUUGCACGAAGGCGCCGCUCUUCUUCCUUUGCUGUCGGCUGUUCGCUAACCUGUGAAGUAUGUUUUGUUGCUGCCAUGCUCUCUCGCUUCUGCACGAACGAUGUACGUACACUGUGCGGGGACACGCACACGCGAAUCGGCUGGAACGCCGCCAUGUAUGAAGCUCUGUAAAAUCGCUGCUGUUUAUCAUUUCUUUUUUUUUUUCACUCUGUCGCUCAG
RNAcentral lists this unclassified non-coding RNA (3252 nucleotides) under Leishmania donovani. RNAcentral describes it as "gene:LdHU3.31.0550(CDS-product:calpain-like_cyste ine_peptidase_putative)". Lineage: Eukaryota; Euglenozoa; Kinetoplastea; Trypanosomatida; Trypanosomatidae. The record is from RNAcentral.